UUGGCCGUAAAUAAAUUAAAUUUACCAGAGUACUAUGAACUAAAAAGUUUAAAACUCAAAGAGCUUGGCGGUGUUUUAGACCUCUCAGGGGAACCUGUCUCAUAAUCGACAAUCCACGUUAUACCUAACCUUAUUUUGCUUUUACAGUUUGUAUACCGUCGUCGUCAGGUAACUUUUAAAAACUUAGAAGUUAGCAAAAAAGCUAUAUAAGCUUACACGUCAGAUCAAGGUGCAGCUCAUAUUAAGGUGAGGAUGGGUUACAAUUAUAGAUUCAUAACUACGAAAUAAUUAUAAUAAUAUAUAAUUAUAAGGAGGACUUGAAAGUAAAUUAAAUUAUAAAAACAUUUUGAAUAAGGCUCUGAAACGUGC
This 369-nucleotide ribosomal RNA is filed under the name Nucella canaliculata. RNAcentral's name for it is "partial 12S ribosomal RNA". It matches the Rfam family "Bacterial small subunit ribosomal RNA", at positions 875 to 1384 of the family's 1533-position model. Lineage: Eukaryota; Metazoa; Mollusca; Gastropoda; Neogastropoda; Muricidae. The record is from RNAcentral.